Molecule: ribosomal RNA, 240 nt
Filed under: uncultured bacterium
Lineage: Bacteria
Description: partial 16S ribosomal RNA
Rfam family: Bacterial small subunit ribosomal RNA
Source: RNAcentral
UACAGAGGGGGCAAGCGUUGUUCGGAAUUACUGGGCGUAAAGGGCGCGUAGGCGGCCCGCUAAGUCGAACGUGAAAUCCCCGGGCUCAACCUGGGAAUUGCAUUGGAGACUGCAAGGCUAGAAUCUGGCAGAGGGGGUAGAAUUCCACGUGUAGCAGUGAAAUGCGUAGAGAUGUGGAGGAACACCGAUGGCGAAGGCAGCCCCCUGGGUCAAGAUUGACGCUCAUGCACGAAAGCGUGG